Branchiostoma belcheri (Belcher's lancelet) is the source of this 74-nucleotide non-coding RNA. Lineage: Eukaryota; Metazoa; Chordata; Leptocardii; Amphioxiformes; Branchiostomatidae. The record is from the annotation of a RefSeq genome assembly.
GGCCCAUUAGCUCAGUUGGUUAGAGCGUCGUGCUGAUAACGCGAAGGUCGUGGGUUCGACCCCCAUGUGGGCCA